AACGUAGGACGCAAGCGUUAUCCGGAGUUACUGGGCGUAAAGGGCGUGUAGGCGGCUCUUCAAGUUCGUCGUGAAAGACCCCGGCUCAACCGGGGAGGGUCGAGGGAGACUGAAGAGCUGGAGGACGGUAGAGGGACAGGGAAUUCCGGGUGUAGUGGUGAAAUGCGUAGAGAUCCGGAGGAACACCAGUGGCGAAGGCGCUGUCCUGGGCCGUUUCUGACGCUGAGGCGCGACAGCAUGGGGAGCGAACGGGAUUAGAAACCCCCGUAGUCC
Molecule: ribosomal RNA, 273 nt
Filed under: uncultured bacterium
Lineage: Bacteria
Description: partial 16S ribosomal RNA
Rfam family: Bacterial small subunit ribosomal RNA
Source: RNAcentral